This 252-nucleotide ribosomal RNA is filed under the name uncultured bacterium. RNAcentral describes it as "partial 16S ribosomal RNA". It matches the Rfam family "Bacterial small subunit ribosomal RNA", at positions 524 to 776 of the family's 1533-position model. The record is from RNAcentral.
UACGUAGGCAGCAAGCGUUGUUCGGAGUUACUGGGCGUAAAGGGUGUGUAGGCGGUCCCCUAAGUUUGGUGUGAAAUCUCCCGGCUCAACUGGGAGGGUGCGCCGAAAACUGGAGGGCUAGAGUACUGGAUGGGAGAGUGGAAUUCCUGGUGUAGCGGUGAAAUGCGUAGAUAUCAGGAGGAACACCGGUGGUGUAGACGGCUUCUGGACCGUAACUGACGCUGAGACACGAAAGCGUGGGUAGCAAACAGG